RNAcentral lists this ribosomal RNA (253 nucleotides) under uncultured bacterium. Its description in RNAcentral is "partial 16S ribosomal RNA". It matches the Rfam family "Bacterial small subunit ribosomal RNA", at positions 524 to 776 of the family's 1533-position model. The record is from RNAcentral.
UACGUAGGGUGCAAGCGUUGUCCGGAAUUAUUGGGCGUAAAGAGCUCGUAGGCGGUCUGUCGCGUCUGCUGUGAAAACUCAGGGCUUAACCCUGAGCUUGCAGUGGGUACGGGCAGACUAGAGUGCGGUAGGGGAGACUGGAAUUCCUGGUGUAGCGGUGAAAUGCGCAGAUAUCAGGAGGAACACCGGUGGCGAAGGCGGCCACCUGGGCCGACCCUGACGCUGAGGCGCGAAGGCGUGGGGAGCGAACGGG